Molecule: transfer RNA, 88 nt
Filed under: Oscillospiraceae bacterium
Lineage: Bacteria; Bacillati; Bacillota; Clostridia; Eubacteriales; Oscillospiraceae
Also listed under: 2 other names
Description: tRNA-Leu
Rfam family: tRNA
About the family: Transfer RNA (tRNA) molecules are approximately 80 nucleotides in length. Their secondary structure includes four short double-helical elements and three loops (D, anti-codon, and T loops).
Source: RNAcentral
GCCGGUGUGAUGGAAUUGGUAGACGUAGCGGAUUCAAAAUCCGCCGGGCUAAUCCCCCGUGUGGGUUCGAGUCCCACCACCGGCACCA